Molecule: non-coding RNA, 77 nt
Organism: Myotis brandtii (Brandt's bat)
Lineage: Eukaryota; Metazoa; Chordata; Mammalia; Chiroptera; Vespertilionidae
Source: Rfam
GAGACACCCCCUAUAGAGCAGGACUUGCUUCAGUGGGGCUUUGAUGCUCACUGAGUCUGCCCCUUGGGUGUGUCACU